Molecule: transfer RNA, 72 nt
Filed under: Camelus bactrianus (Bactrian camel)
Lineage: Eukaryota; Metazoa; Chordata; Mammalia; Artiodactyla; Camelidae
Also listed under: 2 other names
Rfam family: tRNA
About the family: Transfer RNA (tRNA) molecules are approximately 80 nucleotides in length. Their secondary structure includes four short double-helical elements and three loops (D, anti-codon, and T loops).
Source: Rfam by way of RNAcentral
GAGAGCAUAGCUCAGUGGUGGAGUGCAUGCCUAGCAUGCAUGAGGUCCUGGGUUCAAUCCCCAGUGCCUCCA